UCUCAGCGGCGCUUGGGAAGUUGGAUUCCCAGCUCACAGCACGGCAAAGGUAGGAUCGAACGCACAGUGAUCAGUGUGCCCCUCCCUUUGACAGCCCUACAGCCAGGAACUAAACUUGAGUGCACCAUCCAAAACACAGGAGAAAAAAAACCCCUCAGCAUUGCCUGCCCGCGGUAGGGGCUGGCCCCCUCCCAGGAGGGUGGUGCGUCAAAAAGCCCUUCCUCGAGCUGUUCUCCACUCGGGAUACCAGUGUAGCAAGAAUGGGGACCUGAGGUAGGGAGCCUCUUCACCCCAAUAUCUGCCUUCCGUCAGCUCACGGUCACCCCCACAAAAUGUGCCACCUUGCCGGCCAAAUAUCACGAGGAAGAUGACCCAGGCACUUCCCUGCCCCGGCGUGAGGGGAUUUUUAUCUCCCGUCUCAAACGGCAUCAUUAAAACACUUGGAAUCCCAAACCACAACAUGGUGCCCACCGCAUGAGGGAGGAGCGGCCAUUUUGGGCACUGAGGGGCUCGGCGCCACCGCUUCCCCGUGCCACGCUGGGAUGAAGCGGGCGGCUCCCGGAGGAGCGGGUGGCCAGCUCGGGAUGGCCUC
Long non-coding RNA from Myiozetetes cayanensis, 592 nucleotides. RefSeq lists it as uncharacterized. The record is from RefSeq and is a predicted model, not a curated record. Lineage: Eukaryota; Metazoa; Chordata; Aves; Passeriformes; Tyrannidae. The transcript is spliced from 3 exons.